Molecule: ribosomal RNA, 1440 nt
Filed under: Salmonella enterica
Lineage: Bacteria; Pseudomonadati; Pseudomonadota; Gammaproteobacteria; Enterobacterales; Enterobacteriaceae
Description: bacterial SSU rRNA
Rfam family: Bacterial small subunit ribosomal RNA
Source: RNAcentral
GAGUAAUGUCUGGGAAACUGCCUGAUGGAGGGGGAUAACUACUGGAAACGGUGGCUAAUACCGCAUAACGUCGCAAGACCAAAGAGGGGGACCUUCGGGCCUCUUGCCAUCAGAUGUGCCCAGAUGGGAUUAGCUUGUUGGUGAGGUAACGGCUCACCAAGGCGACGAUCCCUAGCUGGUCUGAGAGGAUGACCAGCCACACUGGAACUGAGACACGGUCCAGACUCCUACGGGAGGCAGCAGUGGGGAAUAUUGCACAAUGGGCGCAAGCCUGAUGCAGCCAUGCCGCGUGUAUGAAGAAGGCCUUCGGGUUGUAAAGUACUUUCAGCGGGGAGGAAGGUGUUGUGGUUAAUAACCGCAGCAAUUGACGUUACCCGCAGAAGAAGCACCGGCUAACUCCGUGCCAGCAGCCGCGGUAAUACGGAGGGUGCAAGCGUUAAUCGGAAUUACUGGGCGUAAAGCGCACGCAGGCGGUCUGUCAAGUCGGAUGUGAAAUCCCCGGGCUCAACCUGGGAACUGCAUUCGAAACUGGCAGGCUUGAGUCUUGUAGAGGGGGGUAGAAUUCCAGGUGUAGCGGUGAAAUGCGUAGAGAUCUGGAGGAAUACCGGUGGCGAAGGCGGCCCCCUGGACAAAGACUGACGCUCAGGUGCGAAAGCGUGGGGAGCAAACAGGAUUAGAUACCCUGGUAGUCCACGCCGUAAACGAUGUCUACUUGGAGGUUGUGCCCUUGAGGCGUGGCUUCCGGAGCUAACGCGUUAAGUAGACCGCCUGGGGAGUACGGCCGCAAGGUUAAAACUCAAAUGAAUUGACGGGGGCCCGCACAAGCGGUGGAGCAUGUGGUUUAAUUCGAUGCAACGCGAAGAACCUUACCUGGUCUUGACAUCCACAGAAGAAUCCAGAGAUGGAUUUGUGCCUUCGGGAACUGUGAGACAGGUGCUGCAUGGCUGUCGUCAGCUCGUGUUGUGAAAUGUUGGGUUAAGUCCCGCAACGAGCGCAACCCUUAUCCUUUGUUGCCAGCGGUCCGGCCGGGAACUCAAAGGAGACUGCCAGUGAUAAACUGGAGGAAGGUGGGGAUGACGUCAAGUCAUCAUGGCCCUUACGACCAGGGCUACACACGUGCUACAAUGGCGCAUACAAAGAGAAGCGACCUCGCGAGAGCAAGCGGACCUCAUAAAGUGCGUCGUAGUCCGGAUUGGAGUCUGCAACUCGACUCCAUGAAGUCGGAAUCGCUAGUAAUCGUGGAUCAGAAUGCCACGGUGAAUACGUUCCCGGGCCUUGUACACACCGCCCGUCACACCAUGGGAGUGGGUUGCAAAAGAAGUAGGUAGCUUAACCUUCGGGAGGGCGCUUACCACUUUGUGAUUCAUGACUGGGGUGAAGUCGUAACAAGGUAACCGUAGGGGAACCUGCGGUUGGAUCACCUCCUUACCUGAAAGAAGC